UCGCUCCUACCGAUUGAAUGAUCCGGCGAAAUCAGUGGACCGUGAUACGAUUUGGGUUUCUGAAUCGUGUUUUCGGGAAAUUGAUUAAAACUUAUCAUUUAGAGGAAGGAG
RNAcentral lists this ribosomal RNA (111 nucleotides) under uncultured eukaryote. Its description in RNAcentral is "partial small subunit ribosomal RNA". It matches the Rfam family "Eukaryotic small subunit ribosomal RNA", at positions 1676 to 1785 of the family's 1831-position model. The record is from RNAcentral.